This 492-nucleotide ribosomal RNA is filed under the name uncultured bacterium. RNAcentral describes it as "partial 16S ribosomal RNA". It matches the Rfam family "Bacterial small subunit ribosomal RNA", at positions 29 to 507 of the family's 1533-position model. The record is from RNAcentral.
AGUGAACGCUGGCGGUAGGCCUAACACAUGCAAGUCGAACGGCAGCACAGUAAGAGCUUGCUCUUACGGGUGGCGAGUGGCGGACGGGUGAGGAAUACAUCGGAAUCUACUUUUUCGUGGGGGAUAACGUAGGGAAACUUACGCUAAUACCGCAUACGACCUACGGGUGAAAGCAGGGGAUCUUCGGACCUUGCGCGAUUGAAUGAGCCGAUGUCGGAUUAGCUAGUUGGCGGGGUAAAGGCCCACCAAGGCGACGAUGCGUAGCUGGUCUGAGAGGAUGAUCAGCCACACUGGAACUGAGACACGGUCCAGACUCCUACGGGAGGCAGCAGUGGGGAAUAUUGCACAAUGGGCGCAAGCCUGAUCCAGCCAUACCGCGUGAGUGAAGAAGGCCUUCGGGUUGUAAAGCCCUUUUGUUGGGAAAGAAAAGCAGCAGGUUAAUACCCCGCUGUUCUGACGGUACCCAAAGAAUAAGCACCGGCUAACUUCGUG